GAUCCUGGCUCAGGAUGAACGCUGGCGGCGUGCAUAGCACAUUCAAGUCGAACGAGGCAGCAAUGCCUAGUGGCGGACGGGUGAGUAACGCGUGAGCAACCUGCCCUUGCGUAAGGGAUACCAUCUGGAAACGGAUGUUAAUACCGCAUAAAGUACAAGCGACCGCAUGGUCGUAGUACCAAAGAUUUAUUGCGCAAGGAUGGGCUCGCGUCCCAUUAGAUAGUUGGUGAGG
This 232-nucleotide ribosomal RNA is filed under the name uncultured bacterium. RNAcentral's name for it is "partial 16S ribosomal RNA". It matches the Rfam family "Bacterial small subunit ribosomal RNA", at positions 15 to 257 of the family's 1533-position model. The record is from RNAcentral.